GAAAAUUCUGAGAAGGGAAGAGUAAGUACUGGGUAGUAUCCAAAGUGAGUGAAGGAUGGUGGAAGCUUCAUGAGAAAGUCAAUACUGAAGGACAUCCUGGAGAAGUCUGCUUGAAAUUUAGUAGAGCAGAACGGGUUUUCCUCCGUUAAAGGGACCUAAGAUAACAUAUUAUAAAAUUUAUGUAAGUAGGAUGGUACCGCGAAAUCGGUCUUUCGCUCCUAUA
This 223-nucleotide non-coding RNA is filed under the name Clostridium cadaveris. Its description in RNAcentral is "T-box sequence". It matches the Rfam family "T-box leader". Rfam says of the family: Uncharged tRNA acts as the effector for transcription antitermination of genes in the T-box leader family. T-boxes are found upstream of many aminoacyl-tRNA synthetase genes and some amino acid biosynthetic genes usually in Gram-positive bacteria. Lineage: Bacteria; Bacillati; Bacillota; Clostridia; Eubacteriales; Clostridiaceae. The record is from RNAcentral.